RNAcentral lists this ribosomal RNA (329 nucleotides) under uncultured eukaryote. Its description in RNAcentral is "partial 18S ribosomal RNA". It matches the Rfam family "Eukaryotic small subunit ribosomal RNA", at positions 1470 to 1796 of the family's 1831-position model. The record is from RNAcentral.
CCCUUAGAUGUUCUGGGCCGCACGCGCGCUACACUGAUGCAUUCAACGAGUCUAAAACCUGCUCUGAUAGGGGUGGGUAAUCUUUUGAAUGUGCAUCGUGAUUGGGAUAGAUGAUUGCAAUUUUUCAUCUUCAACGAGGAAUGCCUAGUAAACGCAAGUCAUCAGCUUGCAUUGAUUACGUCCCUGCCCUUUGUACACACCGCCCGUCGCUCCUACCGAUUGAAUGAUCCGAUGAAUAUCAUGGAUUGAGGAUUAUAGCAGGUUCGCCUGUCUUGAUCUUCGAGAAGUGAAGUAAAUCUUAUCAUUUAGAGGUAGGAGAAGUCGUAACA